AUCUUCAUUAAGGAUAUAUCAAGACUUUCCAAAAGUGUUUAAAAAGGACUUUAUGUGAUAGGAUAAGUCAUCCAGCUAUUUCAUUAAGUUUGUCUUAUCCUUAAAACUCCUGAUCAGAUCAGAUCUUCAAUAUGCGUGCUCUUAAGUGGAUUUCCAUAUAUAGCAGAUGCUCUCAUAAAUGCGCGAGAUUUCCUUCAGCAAAAAGGAUAUUGUAACAUGUUUUCCAACAUCUUGUUAGUAUAUUUGUUUUAGCAAAAUUA
This 260-nucleotide long non-coding RNA is filed under the name Trifolium pratense (red clover). RNAcentral describes it as "long non-coding RNA (TPRA_LNC009430)". Lineage: Eukaryota; Viridiplantae; Streptophyta; Magnoliopsida; Fabales; Fabaceae. The record is from RNAcentral.